Long non-coding RNA from Passer domesticus (house sparrow), 252 nucleotides. RefSeq lists it as uncharacterized. The transcript is spliced from 3 exons. The record is from RefSeq and is a predicted model, not a curated record. Lineage: Eukaryota; Metazoa; Chordata; Aves; Passeriformes; Passeridae.
UUGCAUGUACACCUGCAGUAAAGCAAAGAUGUAUAUUCAGAGCCCUAAAGUUCCUUUUAAUAUACUCUAUGAUUUAGAAUGGCUUUCCUGGUAAGAGGCUUCAAGACAGCAUUGAAUAUGCUUCCUAAGUCAGGUCUGACCCUACCUACAGCCACAGCUGCCACUGCACCCUCUUCCACAAGAACAUCUUGCUAGAAUACCCUCCUGAAUUUGCAGAAUGGCACUAAAAAAUAUGGUUUCAUAUUCAGAUCC